Molecule: ribosomal RNA, 525 nt
Filed under: uncultured bacterium
Lineage: Bacteria
Description: partial 16S ribosomal RNA
Rfam family: Bacterial small subunit ribosomal RNA
Source: RNAcentral
UGGGGAAUAUUGCACAAUGGGCGAAAGCCUGAUGCAGCAACGCCGCGUGAGUGAUGAAGGUCUUCGGAUUGUAAAGCUCUGUCUUUUGGGACGAUAAUGACGGUACCAAAGGAGGAAGCCACGGCUAACUACGUGCCAGCAGCCGCGGUAAUACGUAGGUGGCGAGCGUUGUCCGGAUUUACUGGGCGUAAAGGGUGCGUAGGCGGAUGUUUAAGUGAGAUGUGAAAUACCCGGGCUUAACUUGGGUGCUGCAUUUCAAACUGGAUAUCUAGAGUGCAGGAGAGGAGAAUGGAAUUCCUAGUGUAGCGGUGAAAUGCGUAGAGAUUAGGAAGAACACCAGUGGCGAAGGCGAUUCUCUGGACUGUAACUGACGCUGAGGCACGAAAGCGUGGGUAGCAAACAGGAUUAGAUACCCUGGUAGUCCACGCCGUAAACGAUGAGUACUAGGUGUAGGAGGUAUCGACCCCUUCUGUGCCGCAGUAAACACAUUAAAGUACUCCGCCUGGGAAGUACGAUCGCAAGAUU